AAGUCGUAACAAGGUUUCCGUAGGUGAACCUGCGGAAGGAUCAUUAACACGUAUCCAAACGUUAAACCCCCCUGUGAACCUUCAGUCGUACUCGUACGUCCGUUAGAAAAAGCAGCAAUCCCUGGUAAAUCAUCGCCGAACAGUUUUCGAUUCAGGGACGUCUGCAAGGAGCGUGCAUGUUGUGCGUGUAAGUGGCCUGGCAUCCCCAAGCAGUUAGUGUCUGAAAGUGUCACUAACGUUAGUGUCUGAAAGUGUCACUAACAUGUGUAAGGAUGACGCAGUCACGAUCGUUGGAUCACUGGGUGCAAGCCCCCUUAUCACACCCCUGCUCUAUCUAUGGUGAUCCUGCGGGAAGUCCUGCGGUCGAACGCCGAAACCGAACAACUGUUAACAAUGGAUAUCUUGGUUCUC
RNAcentral lists this unclassified non-coding RNA (411 nucleotides) under fungal sp. RNAcentral describes it as "partial internal transcribed spacer region". The stretch from base 1 to 46 matches the Rfam family "Eukaryotic small subunit ribosomal RNA", at positions 1786 to 1831 of the family's 1831-position model. The record is from RNAcentral. Lineage: Eukaryota; Fungi.